UCAUCAAGAGCGGUGGAGGGAAAGGCCCUAUGAAGCCGCGGCAACCCUUGCGAGAGCAAAACGGUGCCAAUUCCUGCAGGUAUAUCCUGGGAGAUGAU
This 98-nucleotide non-coding RNA is filed under the name uncultured Fretibacterium sp. RNAcentral's name for it is "SAM riboswitch (S box leader)". It matches the Rfam family "SAM riboswitch aptamer (S box leader)". Rfam says of the family: The SAM riboswitch is found upstream of a number of genes which code for proteins involved in methionine or cysteine biosynthesis in Gram-positive bacteria. The record is from RNAcentral. Lineage: Bacteria; Thermotogati; Synergistota; Synergistia; Synergistales; Aminobacteriaceae.